Molecule: ribosomal RNA, 462 nt
Filed under: uncultured bacterium
Lineage: Bacteria
Description: partial 16S ribosomal RNA
Rfam family: Bacterial small subunit ribosomal RNA
Source: RNAcentral
GAUAAACGCUGGCGGCGUGCUUAGCACAUGCAAGUCGAACGGAGUUUUUCCUUCGGGAGAAACUUAGUGGCGGACGGGUGAGUAACGCGUGGGUAACCUGCCCUGUACAGGGGGACAACAGCUGGAAACGGCUGCUAAUACCGCAUAAGCACUUAGCACUGCAUGGUGCAUAGGGAAAAGGAGCAAUCCGGUACAGGAUGGACCCGCGUCUGAUUAGCCAGUUGGCAGGGUAACGGCCUACCAAAGCGACGAUCAGUAGCCGAUCUGAGAGGAUGUACGGCCACAUUGGGACUGAGACACGGCCCAGACUCCUACGGGAGGCAGCAGUGGGGAAUAUUGCACAAUGGAGGAAACUCUGAUGCAGCGACGCCGCGUGAGUGAAGAAGUAUUUCGGUAUGUAAAGCUCUAUCAGCAGGGAAGAAAAUGACGGUACCUGACUAAGAAGCACCGGCUAAAUACGUG